RNAcentral lists this ribosomal RNA (1514 nucleotides) under Eucomonympha sp. HsEcA. RNAcentral describes it as "SSU rRNA". It matches the Rfam family "Eukaryotic small subunit ribosomal RNA". Lineage: Eukaryota; Parabasalia; Trichonymphida; Teranymphidae. The record is from RNAcentral.
AAGGAAGCACACUCCGGUCAUAGAUUAAGCCAUGCAAGUCUCAGUUCAGGCAUCGAAACCACGUACAGCUCAUUAACGCACUCAGUACCUGAAUGACAUCGACACUUGUCUAAGAUGGAUAGCCUCGGUAAAUCUGAGGCUAAUACACGCAAGUGUACCAGCUUAGUUGAGUUAUGUUGGUAAAGUUGACCCGAAAGGGCGAGUCAGAAGGGUGAGUGUCCUAUCAGCUAUUACGUAGGGUCUAUACCUAUGUAGGCGAUGACGGGUAACGGGUGAUUAUCGUCAGAUUGCCGGAGAAGGAGCCUGAGAGACAGCUACUAUCCCUACGGGGAGCAGCAGGCGCGUAAUUUACCCACUCGCAGUAGCGGAUGUGGUAAUGACCAGUUCCAGUUACGGUCGAAAGGCCUAGUUGGAUAGAGGAGUUUUUAAAGAUUGCUAAGCAAUCUAGCAGAGGGCCAGUCUGGUGCCAGCAGCUGCGGUAAUUCCAGCUCUGCGUGCUUGCUCCCUCGUUGUUGCAGUUAAAAAGCCCGUAGUCAGAGGUCCCAUGAGAAGGAUUAAAGCCGUCCACCACGAAGAAAACAGGAUGCUUAGGGUAACCUUUGUUGAAUGUCUAAGCGUGGUCUGGAGGUUUUACCUAAUUAUGGUAAGAUCAAUGAGAGCCAAGGGGGAUGGUGGUAUUCUGUGGCGAGCGGUGGAAUGCGUUGACCCAUAGGAGACCUUCAACAGCGAAAGCAACCGUCUACUGGGCAUCUGUCGAUCAAGGGCGAAAGUAGGGGUAGCGAACCGGAUCAGAGACCCGGGUAGUCCCUACUGUAAACUAUGUCGACAAGGGAUUAUCUAGCAAUAGGUAGAACUUGGCGAGAAAUCGUAGUUCUCGGAUUCUGGGGGAACUACGAUCGCAAGACUGAAACUUGAAGGAAUUGACGGAAGGGCACACAAGGGGUGGAGCCUGUGGCUCAAUUUGAAUCAACACGGGGAAACUUACCAGGAUCAGAUGGCUCGGUGACUGACUGGACGAGGUUCAUUCAGGAUGAGUCUGUGGGUGGUGCAUGGCCGUUGGUGGUGCGUGGGUUGACCUGUCAUUCGUUGAUUCAGGUAACGAGCGAGACUACCACCGUCUACUAUCUGCAUAAAGGGCCCUUUAUGUUGGUAUCUAGGCGGGACAGCUUGGUUUCAACCAAGAGGAAGGAGGUAGCAAUAACAGGUCCGUGAUGUCCUUUAGAUGCCCUGGGCUGCACGCGUGCUACACUGGGGAUAAUAAAGUGAUGUCAGCCUGUUAACGGUCACCACUCACUAAUGAUCUCCGUGGUGGGGAUUGAAGCUUGUAAUGAGCUUCAUGAACCAGGAAUCCCUUGUAAAUGCGUGUCAACAUCGCGCGUUGAAUACGUCCCUGCCCUUUGUACACACCGCCCGUCGCUCCUACCGAUUGGAUGACCUGGUGAAAACAUCGGACUUCACGGAAAGGUGUUUAAAUCAUGCCAUCUAGAGGAAGGAGAAGUCGUAACAAGGUAACG